RNAcentral lists this transfer RNA (57 nucleotides) under Dipodomys ordii (Ord's kangaroo rat). It matches the Rfam family "tRNA", at positions 8 to 63 of the family's 71-position model. From Rfam's summary of the family: Transfer RNA (tRNA) molecules are approximately 80 nucleotides in length. Their secondary structure includes four short double-helical elements and three loops (D, anti-codon, and T loops). The record is from Rfam by way of RNAcentral. Lineage: Eukaryota; Metazoa; Chordata; Mammalia; Rodentia; Heteromyidae.
UGGCUCAGUGGUAGAGCGCUUGCCUUUCAUGCAUGAGGCCUUGGGUUCGAUUCCUCA